This 186-nucleotide non-coding RNA is filed under the name Clostridium felsineum. Lineage: Bacteria; Bacillati; Bacillota; Clostridia; Eubacteriales; Clostridiaceae. The record is from RNAcentral.
GUACUGCUAGAAUUUGUGGGUUCAACUAAAUUUUUUAGUUGAUUAAAAAGGAAUCAGGUUAAAAUCCUGAGCGGUCCCGCCACUGUAAGAAAGGAGUUUAAGUACAAUAGGUCACUGGGAAACUGGGAAGACGUACUUAAAUUAUGAUUUUCAAGCCAGGAGACUUGCCAUAUUCUAUUAUAUUUU